AGUGAACGCUGGCGGUAGGCCUAACACAUGCAAGUCGAACGGCAGCACAGUAAGAGCUUGCUCUUACGGGUGGCGAGUGGCGGACGGGUGAGGAAUACAUCGGAAUCUACUUUUUCGUGGGGGUUAACGUAGGGAAACUUACGCUCAUACCGCAUACGACCUACGGGUGAAAGCAGGGGAUCUUCGGACCUUGCGCGAUUGAAUGAGCCGAUGUCGGAUUAGCUAGUUGGCGGGGUAAAGGCCCACCAAGGCGACGAUCCGUAGCUGGUCUGAGAGGAUGAUCAGCCACACUGGAACUGAGACACGGUCCAGACUCCUACGGGAGGCAGCAGUGGGGAAUAUUGGACAGUGGGCGCAAGCCUGAUCCAGCCAUACCGCGUGGGUGAAGAAGGCCUUCGGGUUGUAAAGCCCUUUUGUUGGGAAAGAAAAGCAGCAGGUUAAUACCCCGCUGUUCUGACGGUACCCAAAGAAUAAGCACCGGCUAACUUCGUG
RNAcentral lists this ribosomal RNA (492 nucleotides) under uncultured bacterium. RNAcentral's name for it is "partial 16S ribosomal RNA". It matches the Rfam family "Bacterial small subunit ribosomal RNA", at positions 29 to 507 of the family's 1533-position model. The record is from RNAcentral.